GGUGGAUUGAUUUGUCUGGUUUAUUCCGAUAACGAACGAGACUCUAUCCUACUAAAUAGUUUCACGAUUUUCAAGUCAUGUAGACUUCUUAGAGGGAUAAGCGGUGUUUAACCGCACGAGAUUGAGCGAUAACAGGUCUGUGAUGCCCUUAGAUGUCCGGGGCUGCACGCGCGCUACACUGGAGAAUUCAGCUGGUCUUCCAUUGCCGAAAGGUAUUGGUAAACCGUUGUAACUUCUCCGUGACCGGGAUAGGGAAUUGUAAUUAUUUUCCGUGAACGAGGAAUUCCAAGUAAGUGCGAGUCAUCAGCUCGCGUUGAUUACGUCCCUGCCCUUUGUAC
This 338-nucleotide ribosomal RNA is filed under the name Nematoda environmental sample. Its description in RNAcentral is "SSU rRNA". It matches the Rfam family "Eukaryotic small subunit ribosomal RNA", at positions 1300 to 1665 of the family's 1831-position model. Lineage: Eukaryota; Metazoa; Nematoda. The record is from RNAcentral.